GACGAACGCUGGCGGCGGGCUUAACACAUGCAAGGCGAACGGAAAGGCCCUGCUUUUGUGGGGUGCUCGAUUGGCGAACGGGUGAGUAACACGUGGGUAACCUGCCCUUGACUUUGGGAUAACUUCAGGAAACUGGGGCUAAUACCGGAUAGGAGCUCCUGCUGCAUGGUGGGGGUUGGAAAGUUUCGGCGGUUGGGGAUGGACUCGCGGCUCAUCAGCUUGUUGGUGGGGUAGUGGCUUACCAAGGCUUUGACGGGUAGCCGGCCUGAGAGGGUGACCGGCCACAUUGGGACUGAGAUACGGCCCAGACUCCUACGGUAGGCAGCAGUGGCGAAUAUUGCACAAUGGGCGGAAGCCUGACGCAGCACCCCCGCCAGCGGAAUGACGGCCGCUGGGUUGUAGACCGCUUUCGCGUGUGACGAAGCGUGAGUGACGGUAAUGGGUAAAGAAGCACCGGCUCACUACGUG
This 468-nucleotide ribosomal RNA is filed under the name uncultured bacterium. RNAcentral describes it as "partial 16S ribosomal RNA". It matches the Rfam family "Bacterial small subunit ribosomal RNA", at positions 28 to 507 of the family's 1533-position model. The record is from RNAcentral.